This 1440-nucleotide unclassified non-coding RNA is filed under the name Eufriesea mexicana. RNAcentral describes it as "ankyrin repeat domain-containing protein SOWAHB, transcript variant X6". The record is from RNAcentral. Lineage: Eukaryota; Metazoa; Arthropoda; Insecta; Hymenoptera; Apidae.
AUGGCGACGCCCAGUGAGCUGUCUCUCGAGGAGAUUCGCAAGUAUUUAUUGGAAAACGGUGGUACGGCUCGCAAUCACGACGUGGUGAAGCACUUCAAGAGAUUCCUAACGGAUCCGGAAACACGAGUCGAGGCACGAAAUCGGUUCAAGGAGUACGUAAACACCCUGGCUGCUAUAAAGAACGAAGAGGGAGAAAAAUAUUUGGUUCUGAAGAAGAAGUAUCGUCAAAACCUCGUGGAACUGUCGACUCCGGAGCAGUGCUCGUCACCGAUCGGCACUCCCGACAUAUCUACCCCGGUUUCUCCUUUACGAGUUCCACCACCUUACCGACCACCGCCUCCCGCGCCCCUCAGCCCGCCGGCGAAUAACACAAACACUCACCGCGAGGAGUCGUGUUCGAAUUUCGUCCGCGAGGAGGCCGCUAUCAAUGCGCGGAAAAAUGGCGUUGAUCGUGUCGAGACCGGAUUUUCAACGUCGUCUCCUCCUGUACCGCCACGCCGUAAAAGUCAAGAUAAGAUCAAGAUCGAGAAUAAGGAGAACGUGGACAGGAAUAGGGGAGGAUCGGAGGCAGUUAUCAAGGAAGAUGAGGCUGUCGCGACGAAUCCGGGCUCAACCGAGCAAUUAAGCUUCCGCGAGCGGAUGCAACGUUUCAACCGGAUGGCUAGCGAAACCGAUCUCCAAGGCAGGCCUAACGGCACUAUCACACCUACUAAAAAGCGAUCUGACAAGGGCGCCGACGAGGAUGACAGCGCUUCCGUUGCCUCGCAACUGGACGGGAAGUCACGGGAGUGGUUGGUGAGAGCUGCGCAAGGGGAUUAUCAGGCAUUGGCGAAACUGGCCGCGGAAGAACCUCGCCUCACCCGGCUCAAGGAUCCAACGUCGUACACGGCGUUGCACUGGGCGGCCAAGCACGGCGACGAGAACAUCGUGAAGCUCAUCGCGGGCAAAUACAAGAAUUACAUCAAGAGCAUCAACGAGACUUCGAACGGGGGAUACACGCCGCUGCACAUCGCCAUGCAGUUCGAUCACGAGAAUAUCUUCAAUCUGUUGGUCCAGGUGUACGGUGCGAAUCAAGAGGUGCGGGAUUAUAGCGGGAAGAAGGCCAGACAAUACUUGGUCUCCCAGGAGGCGGCCGUCAGUCAGGACACCUUCCGCAGGAUUACUGCUGCCGCUACGCUCAGAAAUAAAAGCAAGGAAAAAGCAUGCAGAGAAAGAUCUUGGUUUCCUGCGUAUUGGCUCGCUGAACGUACGCGUGAAACGUACGACGGAAGCGUUCAGCCAGUUCCUGGGUGUGGCAACUAGCAGCGCCAGCAGCAACCACGAGAAGAUACACAAGAGCUGGGGAUCGGCGGAUAAUGUGCAGUUGGAGCAGAAGAUGAUGCCACCGCCAAAGUACGCGCCUAUCAAGAAGAGGAGGAGUCGACGAGCACAGGAUUUCGG